This 69-nucleotide transfer RNA is filed under the name Urocitellus parryii (Arctic ground squirrel). RNAcentral's name for it is "Spermophilus parryii (Arctic ground squirrel) tRNA". It matches the Rfam family "tRNA". From Rfam's summary of the family: Transfer RNA (tRNA) molecules are approximately 80 nucleotides in length. Their secondary structure includes four short double-helical elements and three loops (D, anti-codon, and T loops). Lineage: Eukaryota; Metazoa; Chordata; Mammalia; Rodentia; Sciuridae. The record is from Rfam by way of RNAcentral. RNAcentral also lists the same sequence under 2 other names.
GGGGAUAUAGCUCAGUGGUAGAGUACCUGCCUAGCCUGCAGGAAGCCCUGGAUUAAAUUCCCAGCACCA